RNAcentral lists this ribosomal RNA (1444 nucleotides) under Streptococcus ratti. RNAcentral describes it as "16S ribosomal RNA". It matches the Rfam family "Bacterial small subunit ribosomal RNA". Lineage: Bacteria; Bacillati; Bacillota; Bacilli; Lactobacillales; Streptococcaceae. The record is from RNAcentral.
AGGACGAACGCUGGCGGCGUGCCUAAUACAUGCAAGUGGAACGCAAGGGAACACACCGUGCUUGCACAUCGUGUUUUCUUGAGUCGCGAACGGGUGAGUAACGCGUAGGUAACCUGCCUAUUAGCGGGGGAUAACUAUUGGAAACGAUAGCUAAUACCGCAUAAGAGAGUUUAACACAUGUUAGACGCUUGAAAGAUGCAAGAGCAUCACUAGUAGAUGGACCUGCGUUGUAUUAGCUAGUAGGUAGGGUAAAGGCCUACCUAGGCGACGAUACAUAGCCGACCUGAGAGGGUGACCGGCCACACUGGGACUGAGACACGGCCCAGACUCCUACGGGAGGCAGCAGUAGGGAAUCUUCGGCAAUGGGGGGAACCCUGACCGAGCAACGCCGCGUGAGUGAAGAAGGUUUUCGGAUCGUAAAGCUCUGUUGUCAGAGACGAACGUGUGUGAGAGUGGAAAGUUCACACAGUGACGGUAACUGACCAGAAAGGGACGGCUAACUACGUGCCAGCAGCCGCGGUAAUACGUAGGUCCCGAGCGUUGUCCGGAUUUAUUGGGCGUAAAGCGAGCGCAGGCGGUUUUGUAAGUCUGAAGUCAAAGGCAGUGGCUUAACCAUUGUGUGCUUUGGAAACUGCAGGACUUGAGUGCAGAAGGGGAGAGUGGAAUUCCAUGUGUAGCGGUGAAAUGCGUAGAUAUAUGGAGGAACACCGGUGGCGAAAGCGGCUCUCUGGUCUGUAACUGACGCUGAGGCUCGAAAGCGUGGGUAGCGAACAGGAUUAGAUACCCUGGUAGUCCACGCCGUAAACGCUGAGUGCUAGGUGUUAGGCCCUUUCCGGGGCUUAGUGCCGGAGCUAACGCAUUAAGCACUCCGCCUGGGGAGUACGACCGCAAGGUUGAAACUCAAAGGAAUUGACGGGGGCCCGCACAAGCGGUGGAGCAUGUGGUUUAAUUCGAAGCAACGCGAAGAACCUUACCAGGUCUUGACAUCCCGAUGCCCGCUCUAGAGAUAGAGUUUUACUUUUGUACAUCGGUGACAGGUGGUGCAUGGUUGUCGUCAGCUCGUGUCGUGAGAUGUUGGGUUAAGUCCCGCAACGAGCGCAACCCUUAUUGUUAGUUGCCAUCAUUGAGUUGGGCACUCUAGCGAGACUGCCGGUAAUAAACCGGAGGAAGGUGGGGAUGACGUCAAAUCAUCAUGCCCCUUAUGACCUGGGCUACACACGUGCUACAAUGGUCGGUACAACGAGUCGCGAGCCGGUGACGGCAAGCUAAUCUCUGAAAGCCGAUCUCAGUUCGGAUUGGAGGCUGCAACUCGCCUCCAUGAAGUCGGAAUCGCUAGUAAUCGCGGAUCAGCACGCCGCGGUGAAUACGUUCCCGGGCCUUGUACACACCGCCCGUCACACCACGAGAGUUUGUAACACCCGAAGUCGGUGAGGUAACCGUUAAG